GAGUUUGAUCUUGGCUCAGAACGAACGCUGGCGGCAUGCCUAACACAUGCAAGUCGAACGCCUGCAGCAAUGCAGGAGUGGCAGACGGGUGAGUAACACGUGGGAAUCUACCCAGUAGCUCGGAAUAACCGCGGGAAACUGCGGCUAAUACCGGAUAAGCCCCGAGGGGGAAAGGAGCAAUCCACUAUUGGAGGAGCCCGCGUCUGAUUAGCUAGUUGGUGGGGUAACGGCCUACCAAGGCGAUGAUCAGUAGCUGGUUUGAGAGAACGACCAGCCGCACUGGGACUGAGACACGGCCCAGACUCCUACGGGAGGCAGCAGUGGGGAAUAUUGGACAAUGGGGGAAACCCUGAUCCAGCAAUGCCGCGUGGGUGAUGAAGGCCUUC
RNAcentral lists this ribosomal RNA (386 nucleotides) under uncultured Alphaproteobacteria bacterium. RNAcentral describes it as "bacterial SSU rRNA". It matches the Rfam family "Bacterial small subunit ribosomal RNA", at positions 9 to 419 of the family's 1533-position model. The record is from RNAcentral. Lineage: Bacteria; Pseudomonadati; Pseudomonadota; Alphaproteobacteria.